This 68-nucleotide transfer RNA is filed under the name Cicindela puritana. Its description in RNAcentral is "tRNA-Ser". The record is from RNAcentral. Lineage: Eukaryota; Metazoa; Arthropoda; Insecta; Coleoptera; Carabidae.
AGUUAAUGAGCUUGAUAUAAGUAUAUGUUUUGAAAGCAUAAUAAAGAAGUAAAAUCUUCUAUUAACUU